UUGGGAAUUGUGGUUCAAGGAAUCAAGUAUGCAGAUUGACAUCUUGCUAUCUGAAGGCCUGUCUUUGAGAACCCAGCAGAUCACGCAAUAUGAGUUCUACCGAGAGCGUUUACAAUCCUCGGCUCACUCAUGCUGUCUGGUUCUGCACUCGGACGUCUGGAUCGCCUUUGGAUGGGCAGUACUUGCAAACACUCCAGGUGCAGACGCAGGCAGAAUGCAAUAUCCAGUGUCUUUCACACGCCCAAGACGCUCUAAUGUACCUCUCAUUGUAUGACUGUGACAUUGUUGUCUUUUCAUCGCAUGCUAGGAAUUCUUGCUGGACUCCAGCACGGCCGAUGCCACC
RNAcentral lists this long non-coding RNA (343 nucleotides) under Coccomyxa subellipsoidea. RNAcentral's name for it is "long non-coding RNA (CSUB_LNC000631)". Lineage: Eukaryota; Viridiplantae; Chlorophyta; Trebouxiophyceae; Coccomyxaceae. The record is from RNAcentral.